UACGUAGGCAGCGAGCGUUGUUCGGAGUUACUGGGCGUAAAGAGUGCGCAGGCGGUUUUCUAAGUUUGGUGUGAAAUCUCCCGGCUCAACUGGGAGGGUGCGCCGAAGACUGGAAGGCUAGAGUAUGGGAGAGGUAAGCGGAAUUCCUGGUGUAGCGGUGAAAUGCGUAGAUAUCAGGAGGAACACCUGCGGUGUAGACGGCUUACUGGACCAUCACUGACGCUGAGGCACGAAAGCGUGGGUAGCAAACAGG
Molecule: ribosomal RNA, 253 nt
Filed under: uncultured bacterium
Lineage: Bacteria
Description: partial 16S ribosomal RNA
Rfam family: Bacterial small subunit ribosomal RNA
Source: RNAcentral